Molecule: ribosomal RNA, 416 nt
Filed under: uncultured Lactobacillus sp.
Lineage: Bacteria; Bacillati; Bacillota; Bacilli; Lactobacillales; Lactobacillaceae
Description: bacterial SSU rRNA
Rfam family: Bacterial small subunit ribosomal RNA
Source: RNAcentral
CUGUGAAACAAGAUACAGGCUAGCGGCGGACGGGUGAGUAACACGUGGGUAACCUGCCCAAGAGAUCGGGAUAACACCUGGAAACAGAUGCUAAUACCGGAUAACAACAGAUGAUGCCUAUCAACUGUUUAAAAGAUGGUUCUGCUAUCACUCUUGGAUGGACCUGCGGUGCAUUAGCUAGUUGGUAGGGUAACGGCCUACCAAGGCGAUGAUGCAUAGCCGAGUUGAGAGACUGAUCGGCCACAUUGGGACUGAGACACGGCCCAAACUCCUACGGGAGGCAGCAGUAGGGAAUCUUCCACAAUGGACGCAAGUCUGAUGGAGCAACGCCGAGUGAGUGAAGAAGGGUUUCGGCUCGUAAAGCUCUGUUGUUGGUGAAGAAGGACAGGAGUAGUAACUGACCUUUGUUUGACGGU